ACACGCGGUAGGAGAGCGUUCUGUAAGCCUGCGAAGGUGUCUCGAGAGGGAUGCUGGAGGUAUCAGAAGUGCGAAUGCUGACAUGAGUAGCGAUAAAGGGGGUGAAAAGCCCCCUCGCCGUAAGUCCAAGGUUUCCUGCGCAACGUUCAUCGGCGCAGGGUGAGUCGGCCCCUAAGGCGAGGCAGAGAUGCGUAGCUGAUGGGAAGCUGGUUAAUAUUCCAGCACCGUCGUACAGUGCGAUGGGGGGACGGAUCGUGGAAGGUCAUCGGGAGAUUGGUAGUUCCCGUUGCUGCACUAUAGAAGGCGCUUCAGGCAAAUCCGGGCGCGUAAUUCAAGGGUGUGGCUGAAUAGGACUUCGGUCCUAAACUGAUUGGAAGUGGUCCCAAGAAAAGCCUCUAAGCUUCAGCUGUACGAGACCGUACCGCAAACCGACACAGGUGGACGGGAUGAAUAUUCCAAGGCGCUUGAGAGAACUCGGGAAAAGGAACUCGGCAAAUUGAUACCGUAACUUCGGGAUAAGGUAUGCCCUGGUAGUGUGAUAGGCUCGCGCCUAGAGCAUGAAGGGGUCUCAGAGAAUCGGUGGCUGCGACUGUUUAUUAAAAACAUAGCACUCUGCAAACACGAAAGUGGACGUAUAGGGUGUGACGCCUGCCCGGUGCCGGAAGGUUAAGUGAUGGGGUGCAAGCUCUUGAUCGAAGCCCCGGUAAACGGCGGCCGUAACUAUAACGGUCCUAAGGUAGCGAAAUUCCUUGUCGGGUAAGUUCCGACCUGCACGAAUGGCGUAACGAUGGCCACACUGUCUCUUCCCGAGACUCAGCGAAGUUGAAGUGGUUGUGAUGAUGCAAUCUACCCGCGGCUAGACGGAAAGACCCCAUGAACCUUUACUGUAGCUUUGCAUUGAACUGUGAACCGGCCUGUGUAGGAUAGGUGGGAGGCGUUGAACUCAUGUCGCCAGAUGUGAGGGAGCCAACCUUGAAAUACCACCCUGGUCUGUUUGCGGUUCUAACCUAGGUCCAUUAUCUGGAUCGGGGACCGUGCAUGGUGGGCAGUUUGACUGGGGCGGUCUCCUCCCAAAGUGUAACGGAGGAGUACGAAGGUACGCUAGAGACGGUCGGAAAUCGUCUUGAUAGUGCAAUGGCAUAAGCGUGCUUGACUGUGAGACCUACAAGUCGAACAGGUGCGAAAGCAGGUCAUAGUGAUCCGGUGGUUCUGUAUGGAAGGGCCAUCGCUCAACGGAUAAAAGGUACUCUGGGGAUAACAGGCUGAUACCGCCCAAGAGUUCAUAUCGACGGCGGUGUUUGGCACCUCGAUGUCGGCUCAUCACAUCCUGGGGCUGUAGCCGGUCCCAAGGGUAUGGCUGUUCGCCAUUUAAAGUGGUACGUGAGCUGGGUUUAAAACGUCGUGAGACAGUUUGGUCCCUAUCUGCCGUGGGCGUUGGAUACUUGACGGAGCCUGCUCCUAGUACGAGAGGACCGGAGUGGACGUACCUCUGGUGUACCGGUUGUCAUGCCAAUGGCAUCGCCGGGUAGCUAUGUACGGAAGAGAUAACCGCUGAAGGCAUCUAAGCGGGAAACUCGUCUGAAGAUAAGGUGUCCCGGGGCCUAGAGCCCCCUAAAGGGUCGUUCGAGACCAGAACGUUGAUAGGCUGGGUGUGGAAGUGCAGUAAUGCACGUAGCUAACCAGUACUAAUUGCCCGUGCGGCUUGAUCCUAUAACCUUGCAGGUUA
RNAcentral lists this ribosomal RNA (1726 nucleotides) under Mesopusillimonas faecipullorum. Its description in RNAcentral is "partial 23S ribosomal RNA". It matches the Rfam family "Bacterial large subunit ribosomal RNA", at positions 1221 to 2925 of the family's 2925-position model. The record is from RNAcentral. Lineage: Bacteria; Pseudomonadati; Pseudomonadota; Betaproteobacteria; Burkholderiales; Alcaligenaceae.